AUUGGAGGGCAAGUCUGGUGCCAGCAGCCGCGGUAAUUCCAGCUCCAAUAGCGUAUAUUAAAGUUGUUGCGGUUAAAAAGCUCGUAGUUCGAGUUGAGUUUGGGAGUGGGGUGGGAGGUCACCGCCCGGUGCUUCCCCCCUAGGUCCUGGACAGCUUCCGUGAGUGGAAGCCAAGCCAGUUGUUGCGGGGUGCUCUUUACCGAGUGUGCCGUGCGGCCGGUGAGUUCACCUUGAAUAAAUGAGAGUGCUCAAAGCAGGCUACUCUUGAAUACAAUGCCGGAAUGUUAGCUGCAUGGAAUGAUGGAAGAUGAUCUGGGUUCCAUUUUGUUGGUGGUGGGAGCCCCAGUUAAUGAUAAAGAGGGACUGUCGGGGGCAUCCGUACUACGACGCGAGAGGUGAAAUUCAGUGACCGUCGUAGGACGAACAACAGCGAAAGCAUUUGCCAAGAAUGUCUUCGUUGAUCAAGAACGAAAGUUAGAGGAUCGAAGGCGAUCAGAUACCGCCCUAGUUCUAACCCUAAACGAUGCUGACUAGCAAUUCGCCGUCGUUAUUCCCAUGACGUGGCGAGACGCCCCCGGGAAACCUCAAGUUUUUGAGUUCCGGGGGUAGUAUGGUUGCAAAAGUGAAACUUAAAGGAAUUGACGGAAGGGCACCACCAUGAGUGGAGCCUGCGGCUUAAUU
This 681-nucleotide ribosomal RNA is filed under the name Macrobrachium mammillodactylus. RNAcentral's name for it is "bacterial SSU rRNA". It matches the Rfam family "Eukaryotic small subunit ribosomal RNA", at positions 547 to 1195 of the family's 1831-position model. Lineage: Eukaryota; Metazoa; Arthropoda; Malacostraca; Decapoda; Palaemonidae. The record is from RNAcentral.